Molecule: long non-coding RNA, 200 nt
Filed under: Elaeis guineensis (African oil palm)
Lineage: Eukaryota; Viridiplantae; Streptophyta; Magnoliopsida; Arecales; Arecaceae
Description: long non-coding RNA (EGUI_LNC078476)
Source: RNAcentral
AGGGAUAUUUAUACCAUAUUCCAUCGGAGCAAAUCUUGACAGCAGAAAUAGCUCCGAAGUUGGUCACGUUCAGUGCAGAUGUACCCUUACAUCUCACCUGUAUGCCAUACCAGUGUCUCCACACUCAUUGGUUAAGAGGACAACCAACCUAUAUGGCAUACAAUGACCUAUGCUUGAUAAACGUUGUCGUCCUUAGUAAC